GACGAACGCUGGCGGUGUGCUUAACACAUGCAAGUCGAACGGUAAGGCCCGGUCGGGGGUACACGAGGGGCGAACGGGUGAGUAACACGUGGGUAACCUGCCCUCAUCUCUGGGAGAACAGGCGGGAACGGAUGGUAAUGCUGUAGAGGUGCUUGCAAGGCAUCUUGUGGGGUGGUAAGAUUUUUUUGGUUGGGGGUGGACUCGCGGCCUAUCAGCUUGUUGGUGCGGUAGUGGCUCACCAAGGCGUCGACGGGUAGCCGGCCUGAGAGGGCGACCGGCCACAUUGGGACUGAGAUACGGCCCAAACUCCGACUGGAGGCAGCAGUGGGGAAUAUUGCACAAGGGACGGCAGUCGGAUGCAGCAACGCCGCGUGCGGGAUGACGGCCUUCGGGUUGAAAACCGCUUUCAAUAGUGACGAAGCUUUUUGUGACGGUAGCAGUAGAAGAAGCACCGGCUAACUACGUG
RNAcentral lists this ribosomal RNA (466 nucleotides) under uncultured bacterium. RNAcentral describes it as "partial 16S ribosomal RNA". It matches the Rfam family "Bacterial small subunit ribosomal RNA", at positions 28 to 507 of the family's 1533-position model. The record is from RNAcentral.